RNAcentral lists this ribosomal RNA (261 nucleotides) under uncultured bacterium. RNAcentral's name for it is "partial 16S ribosomal RNA". It matches the Rfam family "Bacterial small subunit ribosomal RNA", at positions 28 to 292 of the family's 1533-position model. The record is from RNAcentral.
GAUGAACGCUGGCGGCGUGCUUAAGACAUGCAAAUCGAACGGAGUGUGUAGCAAUACUCACUAAGUGGCGAAUGGGUGAGUAACACGUAGGUGACCUGCCCUGAAGCGCGGAAUAACAGUCCGAAAGGAUUGCUAAUACCGCAUGUGGUCCCGGGCGUUAGAGAACCGGGUCUAAAGCAGUAAUGCGCUUCAGGAGGGGCCUGCGGUCCAUCAGCUAGUUGGUAGGGAAUGGCCUACCAAGGCAACGACGGAUAGGGGACC